AGGACAUCAUGAGGACGGUGACUGAUUUGGAUAGACUGGCGCACAAAUCACUUUCUUUAGGGUAGAUAAGUCUUUAGUUUAUUGUGUAGAGAUAUAGGGCGACAAGUGCGGGUAGUUGUUAGAGAAUAACUAGUACUGAGCGUGGCCAUAUGAGAGAUCACUUAGAUUUCUACUCGAUCGUCAAUGAUCAUCUCGAUGCUGUAGUUGUAUGACUGAUCUUUUGACCUGAGAUGACACUACUGCUUGCAGUGAAGCUGCUGAAGUUUGAUUGACAUAUAAGCAUGGGUCUCAAUGAGCUUUUAUAGUGGAUAUUGACGACAGUUGGUUCACUGUAGGAGCAGGAUGUGCAUCAAGAUGAGAUCUAUCGAC
This 369-nucleotide long non-coding RNA is filed under the name Elaeis guineensis (African oil palm). RNAcentral describes it as "long non-coding RNA (EGUI_LNC055052)". The record is from RNAcentral. Lineage: Eukaryota; Viridiplantae; Streptophyta; Magnoliopsida; Arecales; Arecaceae.